Saccostrea echinata is the source of this 329-nucleotide long non-coding RNA. RefSeq lists it as uncharacterized. The transcript is spliced from 3 exons. Lineage: Eukaryota; Metazoa; Mollusca; Bivalvia; Ostreida; Ostreidae. The record is from RefSeq and is a predicted model, not a curated record.
GACAUAUAAGAGAGGGACCGCUGACUCAUUUUCGCGCCAAAUUAUCUUCAUGUUUUCGCAGCGCCCCCACCGGGAGGCAUAGAAAGACUUCCUGUCAUAACAGCUGCUGUGUUGUCUUCGCAGCCUUUGGGGUAUGAAAUCAGUUUCCUCAGCAACAGAUACAGCUUGCCAGCAGUGGAAAUGCAGAAUGCUUAUUUUAAUGUGGGACUUUAUUCCUACCACCAUAAAUCUAUUAAAUAUUAUGGUACCUCUACUGAUUGAUUCUACAAGAUUCUAAAGUUUCCUGUUGUCUUUCAAAAGACCUUGACCUGCUUUAUAAUGGUGUUUAA